AUUGAACGCUGGCGGCAGGCCUAACACAUGCAAGUCGAGCGGUUGAGGUAGCUUUCUACCGAUGCAGCGGCGAACGGGUGAGUAAUACAUGGGAAUCUGCCUGGUAGUGGGGGACAACGUUUCGAAAGGAACGCUAAUACCGCAUACGCCCUACGGGGGAAAGGGGGGGAUCGCAAGACCUCCCGCUAUCAGUUGAGCCC
This 200-nucleotide ribosomal RNA is filed under the name uncultured bacterium. RNAcentral describes it as "partial 16S ribosomal RNA". It matches the Rfam family "Bacterial small subunit ribosomal RNA", at positions 30 to 232 of the family's 1533-position model. The record is from RNAcentral.